GAGACAGCAGCAGCCGCGGUAAUACGUAGGUCCCGAGCGUUGUCCGGAUUUAUUGGGCGUAAAGGGAGCGCAGGCGGUUUAGUAAGUCUGAAGUUAAAGGCAUUGGCUCAACCAAUGUAUGCUUUGGAAACUGUUAGACUUGAGUGCAGAAGGGGAGAGUGGAAUUCCAUGUGUAGCGGUGAAAUGCGUAGAUAUAUGGAGGAACACCGGUGGCGAAAGCGGCUCUCUGGUCUGUCACUGACGCUGAGGCUCGAAAGCGUGGGUAGCGAACAGGAUUAGAUACCCCAGUAGUCCCUGUCUCUUAUACA
RNAcentral lists this ribosomal RNA (308 nucleotides) under uncultured bacterium. Its description in RNAcentral is "partial 16S ribosomal RNA". It matches the Rfam family "Bacterial small subunit ribosomal RNA", at positions 505 to 808 of the family's 1533-position model. The record is from RNAcentral.